Molecule: transfer RNA, 72 nt
Filed under: Haemonchus placei
Lineage: Eukaryota; Metazoa; Nematoda; Chromadorea; Rhabditida; Trichostrongylidae
Rfam family: tRNA
About the family: Transfer RNA (tRNA) molecules are approximately 80 nucleotides in length. Their secondary structure includes four short double-helical elements and three loops (D, anti-codon, and T loops). Further hydrogen bonds mediate the characteristic L-shaped molecular structure. tRNAs have two regions of fundamental functional importance: the anti-codon, which is responsible for specific mRNA codon recognition, and the 3' end, to which the tRNAs corresponding amino acid is attached (by aminoacyl-tRNA synthetases). tRNAs cope with the degeneracy of the genetic code in two manners: having more than one tRNA (with a specific anti-codon) for a particular amino acid; and 'wobble' base-pairing, i.e. permitting non-standard base-pairing at the 3rd anti-codon position.
Source: Rfam by way of RNAcentral
GCCUCGGUAGUGCAAGGGAUAGAGCGCGGUGCUCGGAUAGCACAUCUACGGGUUCGAGUCCCGUUCGAGACU